GGGGCGGCGGCUUUUAAACAACAAUGGCAAAGUCCGAAACGAGAUAGGUCCCGCCAGGGGUGAGUAAGGGUGGCGUACUGGUGAGUAACACGUCGGUAAUCUACCUCUUGGUAGGGGAUAACCCGGGUGAAACCUGGGCUAAUACCGCAUAAUCCAGCAUAGGCACAGGCGAUAGUCGCCGAGAGAUGAGCCCGCGGCUGAUUAGCUAGUUGGUGAGGUAACGGCCCACCAAGGCGAUGAUCGGUAGCCGGCCAUGAGAGGGCACACGGCCACACUGGCACUGAAACACGGGCCAGACUCCUACGGGAGGCAGCAGUGGGGAAUCUUGCACAAUGGGGGAAACCCUGAUGCAGCGACGCCGCGUGAGCGAUGAAGCCCCUCGGGGUGUAAAGCUCUUUCGGCAGGAACGAUAAUGACGGUACCUGAAGAAGAAGCUGCGGCUAACUACGUGCCAGCAGCCGCGGUAAUACGUAGGCAGCAAGCGUUGUUCGGAGUUACUGGGCGUAAAGAGUGCGUAGGCGGUCCACUAAGUUUGGUGUGAAAUCUCCCGGCUCAACCGGGAGGGUGCACCGAAGACUGGUGGGCUUGAGUGUGGGAUAGGUAGGCGGAAUUCCUGGUGUAGCGGUGAAUACUGCGUAGAUAUCAGGAGGAACCACCGGUGGUGUAGACGGCUUACUGGACCAUAACUGCACGCUGAGGCACGAAAGCGUGGGUAGCAAACAGGCAUUAGCAUACC
This 736-nucleotide ribosomal RNA is filed under the name uncultured bacterium. Its description in RNAcentral is "bacterial SSU rRNA". It matches the Rfam family "Bacterial small subunit ribosomal RNA", at positions 36 to 786 of the family's 1533-position model. The record is from RNAcentral.